RNAcentral lists this ribosomal RNA (406 nucleotides) under uncultured bacterium. RNAcentral's name for it is "partial 16S ribosomal RNA". It matches the Rfam family "Bacterial small subunit ribosomal RNA", at positions 29 to 526 of the family's 1533-position model. The record is from RNAcentral.
AUUGAACGCUGGCGGCAGGCCUAACACAUGCAAGUCGAGCGAGAGGCGGACGGGGGAGUAAUGUCUGGGAAACUGCCUGAUGGAGGGGGAUAACUACUGGAAAAGGUAGCUAAUACCGCAUACCAUCAGAUGUGACAAGAUGGGAUGUGCUAGGAGGUGGGGUAAUGGCUCACCUAGGCGACGAUCACUAGCUGGUCUCAGAGGAUGACCAGCCACACUGGAACGGAGACAGGGUCCAGACUCCUACGGGAGGCAGCAGUGGGGAAUAUUGCACAAUGGGCGCAAGCCUGAUGCAGCCAUGCCGCGUGUGUGAAGAAGGCCGUCGGGUGGUAAAGCACUUUCAGUGGGGAGGCGUUACCCGCAGAAGAAGCACCGGCUAACUCCGUGCCAGCAGCCGCGGUAAUAC